Podarcis lilfordi (Lilford's wall lizard) is the source of this 74-nucleotide non-coding RNA. Lineage: Eukaryota; Metazoa; Chordata; Lepidosauria; Squamata; Lacertidae. The record is from the annotation of a GenBank genome assembly.
GCCUGGGAUAGCUCAAUUGGUAGAGCAUGUGGCGCUUAAUCUCAAGGUCGAGGGUUUGACCCCCACGUUGGGCG